AGAUACAGAGUAAAUAAUGGGCUGGAUACAUCAGAUACAGAGUAAAUAAUGGGCCGGGUAAUGAAGAUACAGAGUCAAUAAUGAUAAUGGGACGGACACUGAAGAUACAAAGAAAAUAAUGGGCCAGACACUGAAGAUACAGAGUAAAUAAUGGGCCGGAUACUGAAUAUACUGAGUAAAUAAAGGGCCGAAGAUACAGAGAAAUUAAGGGCUGGAGGACUCUCCUGUCAGGCUCUGACCCUGGACGCAAUCAGAUGAAGGAUUGAGCAGGUUCUGGUCAUAUUUAAACAUUUAUUUCAGCUUUUAUGAAAAAGUGGAUGUGUAUAUUUGUGGUACUGUUCCUCUAACAUCCAGUAACAUUGACCAAUAA
Molecule: long non-coding RNA, 370 nt
Organism: Labrus mixtus (cuckoo wrasse)
Lineage: Eukaryota; Metazoa; Chordata; Actinopteri; Labriformes; Labridae
Exons: 2
Source: RefSeq, a predicted model, not a curated record